Molecule: ribosomal RNA, 1504 nt
Filed under: uncultured prokaryote
Description: partial 16S ribosomal RNA
Rfam family: Bacterial small subunit ribosomal RNA
Source: RNAcentral
AGAGUUUGAUCAUGGCUCAGAUUGAACGCUGGCGGCAGGCCUAACACAUGCAAGUCGAACGGUAACAGCAGAGCUUGCUCUGGCUGACGAGUGGCGGACGGGGGAGUAACGCGUAGGAAUCUACCCAGUAGUGGGGGGACAACUUGGGGAAACGCAAGCUAAUACCGCAUACGCCCUACGGGGGAAAGCGGGGGACCUUCGGGCCUCGUGCUAUUGGAUGAGCCUGCGUUAGAUUAGCUAGUUGGUGGGGUAAAGGCCUACCAAGGCGACGAUCUUUAGCUGGUCUGAGAGGAUGAUCAGCCACACUGGAACUGAGACACGGUCCAGACUCCUACGGGAGGCAGCAGUGAGGAAUAUUGCGCAAUGGGGGCAACCCUGACGCAGCGACGCCGCGUGGGUGAGGAAGGCUUUCGGGUCGUAAAGCUCUGUCAGAAGGGAAGAAAUGCUUAUAGGUUAAUACCUUGUAAGUUUGACGGUACCUUCAAAGGAAGCACCGGCUAACUCCGUGCCAGCAGCCGCGGUAAUACGGAGGGUGCAAGCGUUGUUCGGAAUCACUGGGCGUAAAGGGCGCGUAGGCGGCCAAGCAAGUCAGAUGUGAAAGCCCACGGCUCAACCGUGGAAGUGCAUUUGAAACUGCUUGGCUUGAGUAUCAGAGGGGAAAGUGGAAUUCCCGGUGUAGAGGUGAAAUUCGUAGAUAUCGGGAGGAAUACCGGUGGCGAAGGCGACUUUCUGGCUGAAUACUGACGCUGAGGCGCGAAAGCGUGGGGAGCAAACAGGAUUAGAUACCCUGGUAGUCCACGCCGUAAACGAUGUCAACUAGGUGCAGGGGGUGUUGAUCCCCUCUGUGUCGCAGCUAACGCAUUAAGUUGACCGCCUGGGGAGUACGGCCGCAAGGUUAAAACUCAAAUGAAUUGACGGGGGCCCGCACAAGCGGUGGAGCAUGUGGUUUAAUUCGAUGCAACGCGAAGAACCUUACCAUCCCUUGACAUCCAGAGAAUCUGUUAGAGAUAGUAGAGUGCCUGCGAGAAUUUGGUGACAGGUGCUGCAUGGCUGUCGUCAGCUCGUGUCCUGAGAUGUUGGGUUAAGUCCCGUAACGAGCGCAACCCUUAUCCUUAGUUGCUAGCAGGUAAUGCUGAGAACUCUAGGGAGACUGCCGGUGAUAAACCGGAGGAAGGUGGGGACGACGUCAAGUCAUCAUGGCCCUUAUGUGUAGGGCUACACACGUGCUACAAUGGUCGGUACAAAGGGUUGCCAACCCGUGAGGGGGAGCUAAUCUCAUAAAGCCGAUCGUAGUCCGGAUUGAAGUCUGCAACUCGACUUCAUGAAGUUGGAAUCGCUAGUAAUCGCGGAUCAGAAUGUCGCGGUGAAUACGUUCUCGGGCCUUGUACACACCGCCCGUCACACCAUGGGAGUGGGUUGCAAAAGAAGUGGGUAGACUAACCUUCGGGAGGUCGCUCACCACUUUGUUAUUCAUGACUGGGGUGAAGUCGUAACAAGGUAACCA